RNAcentral lists this ribosomal RNA (273 nucleotides) under uncultured prokaryote. RNAcentral describes it as "partial 16S ribosomal RNA". It matches the Rfam family "Bacterial small subunit ribosomal RNA", at positions 524 to 796 of the family's 1533-position model. The record is from RNAcentral.
UACGGAGGGUGCAAGCGUUAAUCGGAAUUACUGGGCGUAAAGCGCACGUAGGCGGUUUGACAAGUGGGAUGUGAAAGCCCUGGGCUCAACCUGGGAACUGCAUCCCAAACUGUCAGGCUAGAGUAUGGUAGAGGGGGGCGGAAUUCCCGGUGUAGCGGUGAAAUGCGUAGAGAUCGGGAGGAACAUCAGUGGCGAAGGCGGCCCCCUGGACUGAUACUGACGCUGAGGUGCGAAAGCGUGGGGAUCAAACAGGAUUAGAAACCCUAGUAGUCC